This 27-nucleotide non-coding RNA is filed under the name Rattus norvegicus (Norway rat). Lineage: Eukaryota; Metazoa; Chordata; Mammalia; Rodentia; Muridae. The record is from RNAcentral.
UGAAGUUUCUUUCUUGAUGUAAAGCCA